UAUGUCUGGCGUUGGGAACGCAGCCGCGGCUUGGUGGUGGAUAGCAAGAGGCAAAGGCAAAAAAGCACAGCUGCUUCUCCAGACCAGAGGCAAAGGCAGGUGCAUAGAGAUGAAUGGGACAAUGGCCACCUGCCGAGCAGCGUGUCAGGGGGCUGAGGUCCUGGCCCUUCAAGUGCUGCCCAGCCCCGCGUGGGAACCCCCGUUGCUCAUGCGCUCCCCAGCUUCCCAUUUCUCUUGCAACCGGGACAUCAGGCCAGCCUCAAAUGGCGCUUUGUCAAAAUAGAAAUGUUCUCCGUGAAGAAGUGGACAGAGAGUGACUGCCUUGGAAUGGACCCAACCUGGCUCCCCAGUAGCAGGAGCCCAGGAGGCCAGGCCCCUCGAGUAGCCGGACACACCCUCAUCCCAUGGCCAUUUGGCUGUGGUCCUCGGGAAAGGUGGAGAAAAGUCGCAGGACCCACAGGACAUCGGUCACACAUUUAUCCUGGAUCUGCCUGAUUGUUUUUCCGGGGCUUCGCUUCAUCUAUCUGGCCAAUUUGUAGGAUGAUUUCUGGACUGAGGAGGGAUGGCGGAUGAUGUAUCUCCAGUCAACGCUCUUGGCCUGGUUCUCUUUUUUCAAAAAAAGUCCAGAUCUACUGAGAGAUGAACUGCCUGAGCAUCUUUGUUGACCAGGGGCCCUGAGGAGAAAAACAAGAUUCCACCCCCAAGAUGCACUCAUGGUUGCUUACGGAAUUGUCAAGUGUGGGGGCCAAGGUUGCCGGCCUGGCACAAGCAAGGACACCCCAGCUCAGGCCCAGCAUCUGCAGUGACCUCCUGACUCAACCGGAGUCGUGGUGUCUGCGGAAAUGAAAUUGGAUCCCAUCCUUCCGCACAAAAUCUUCCACUGGUCCUAUUGCAAUUACACCCAGAAGAAAAUUCAAACUUCCUACUAUGGCCCAGAAGGUUCUCCAGGAUGUGAGAACUCAUACCCUCUCUCAAUGUGCCGGACCCUACCUUCUGCCAUCUUGCCUUUGCUUUUUUCCUUGCCUCCUUGCUGUUCCUGCAACCUGCUCCCCAAUCCCCUGGCCUUCAACCUGCUGCUUUCUCUGUGGGAAAUGCUUGCCCAGAUGUGCGGUGACCCGCUUCUCACCCCACUCCGGUUUCUUCUCUUUGUUCACCUCCUCCGAGUGGCCCUCCCUGAGUCCCUCCCAGGGGUAGCUCCCUUCCCCAGCUCUCCCUCUCAGCUCACCCUGCUUCCUCCACAGCACCCCAUCUCUGCUUUCUCCCUUUGUUCUCCAUCUCUCAAAACUGUGACUCCAUCAGGGUUUAUGCCUGUGGCUCAGCUUCUAGAAAGUGCCUUAGUCUGAGUAUGCACUGGAGCAUAUUCCAUGACUAUAUGAACAAACACCUAAAUGCACCACUGGCGGGAAUGUAAAUCAGUACAUUUCUAGGAAACCACUGAAAACGAUUUUUCUCAUUAACAAUUGAUAAGAAAUCAUUAAAUGUGCAAAGUUAGAAAAUACCAAUCAGCAAAAAGAAUAUUAAAAAUUACUUACAACCUCACACACUAUAAUUAUUUGGACGUGUACCCUUACAGUUUUUUCUGUGCAUGCAGGAAGCACAGUUACAUUGUAAUUUACCUUUUAUUACUUAACAGUAUAUUAUGAUAAAUCCUUAAAGGUUAAUAAGUACAUUUUUAGGACAUUACUCUUGAGGACUCUGUUGUAUGGAGAAUUUAUAUAUAUACAUACAUAUCUAUGUACAUGUCUGUUUACUUUUCUCUUGUUGGACAUAUGAUUCGUUUCCCCAAAGCAAUGAACAGCUUGAGCUAAAUCUCUAUACACAUCCGUGAGUGAUUCCUUUGAAAGCAGAGUCUUUGGGUUGUGCAUUUUUAAGGAUUUUGAUAAAAUUACCAAAUUACCCUUCAUAAAGUUUACCCAACCUAUCCUAUCAACCAGUGGUGUCGAAAGGGUUCAUUUCUUUGCCUUUAACAACACUCUAUAUCACUGUUUCUACCUUUACCAAUACAGGAGCCCCUAUGAUCUCAUUUUUGCUUAAAUUUGCAUGUCUUUGAUGACUAAUAAGGUUGAGCAUCUUUUAUAUGCUUAUUUAUCAUUUGAAUUUAUUCUUUUGUGAAUUGCUAUUCAUGUCCUCAAUACGGUUUUUCCUGUUAAAAUAUUUCUUCGUUGUUCGUUUGUAAGAAAGCUUUAUACAUUAGGGGAAUUAACCUUCUGUUAUAUGUAUUAAAUCUUUUCCCCUGGUUUUGGUUUACCUUUCAAUUGCAAAACUGUAUUUUUCACAUGUGGAUAUUUUAAAUUUGUACAAUUCAAAUUUAGCUAUCUUUUUUUCUUUCUAGUUUCUGCCCUUGGAAUUGGAUUUAGAAAAAGCUUCCCCAUGACAAUUUAUGUAGAUGGUACUUUUUCGUUUCACUUAAAAUUUUAAAUCUUUAAUUACUAUAAGAUUUCCUUUAAUAUGUGGUAUCAAGCAGGGUACUAAUUUUAUUUUCUGGGUGAGUGGCAGAUUGUACUUAUAUUAUUAUGGAUUACUUAUCCUUUCCUCAUUGAUAUGAAAUGCCUUUGUGUUAAAAAUAUAAAUGUAUGCAUAUGUGAGUCUUUCUGCACUCUCUUUUGCGCUUCAGUUUUUUUUUUUU
Molecule: long non-coding RNA, 2626 nt
Organism: Mirounga angustirostris (Northern elephant seal)
Lineage: Eukaryota; Metazoa; Chordata; Mammalia; Carnivora; Phocidae
Exons: 4
Source: RefSeq, a predicted model, not a curated record